This 441-nucleotide ribosomal RNA is filed under the name uncultured bacterium. RNAcentral describes it as "partial 16S ribosomal RNA". It matches the Rfam family "Bacterial small subunit ribosomal RNA", at positions 338 to 795 of the family's 1533-position model. The record is from RNAcentral.
CCUACGGGAGGCAGCAGUGGGGGAUAUUGCACAAUGGGGGGAACCCUGAUGCAGCGACGCCGCGUGGGUGAAGGAGCGUUUCGGCGCGUAAAGCCCUAUCGGCAGGGAAGAAGGAGGACGGUACCUGACUAAGAAGCCCCGGCUAACUACGUGCCAGCAGCCGCGGUAAUACGGAGGGGGCAAGGGUUAUCCGGAUUUACUGGGUGUAAAGGGGGCGCAGACGGCAGCGCAAGCCAGGAGUGAAAGCCCGGGGCUGAACCCCGGGACUGCUCUUGGAACUGCGCGGCUGGAGUGCAGGUGGGGCAGGCGGAAGUCCUGGUGUAGCGGUGAAAUGCGUAGAUAUCAGGAGGAACACCGGUGGCGAAGGCGGCCUGCUGGACUGCGACUGACGUUGAGGCCCGAAAGCGUGGGGAGCGAACAGGAUUAGAUACCCUGGUAGUC